This 473-nucleotide ribosomal RNA is filed under the name uncultured bacterium. Its description in RNAcentral is "bacterial SSU rRNA". It matches the Rfam family "Bacterial small subunit ribosomal RNA", at positions 329 to 793 of the family's 1533-position model. The record is from RNAcentral.
CGCUACACUCCUACGGGGAGGCAGCAGUAGGGAAUCUUCACAAUGGGCGCAAGCCUGAUGGAGCAACACCGCGUGAGUGAAGAAGGGUUUCGGCUACGUAAAGCUCUGUUGUUAAAGAAGAACACGUAUGAGAGUAACUGUUCAUACGUUGACGGUAUUUAACCAGAAAGUCACGGCUAACUACGUGCCAGCAGCCGCGGUAAUACGUAGGUGGCAAGCGUUAUCCGGAUUUAUUGGGCGUAAAGAGAGUGCAGGCGGUUUUCUAAGUCUGAUGUGAAAGCCUUCGGCUUAACCGGAGAAGUGCAUCGGAAACUGGAUAACUUGAGUGCAGAAGAGGGUAGUGGAACUCCAUGUGUAGCGGUGGAAUGCGUAGAUAUAUGGAAGAACACCAGUGGCGAAGGCGGCUACCUGGUCUGCAACUGACGCUGAGACUCGAAAGCAUGGGUAGCGAACAGGAUUAGAUACCCUGGUAG